Long non-coding RNA from Lotus japonicus, 625 nucleotides. RefSeq lists it as uncharacterized. NCBI's taxonomy places the organism in Eukaryota, Viridiplantae, Streptophyta, Magnoliopsida, Fabales, Fabaceae. The record is from RefSeq and is a predicted model, not a curated record. The transcript is spliced from 4 exons.
UUUUGUAACUGCAGCCUAGGGUUUGAGUUGGUUUUGCUGCUGUUAAAUUUCCUGAACAGACUUUGUGAUAGCUAAUAUUUCAGAUUGGAUGACAAAGAAGUUGGGAUUAUAACAUAUGGUUUUCUAGAUUAAUUUGUUUGGUAGAUUGGGAUAAUAUGGAUCGAAAAUGGAUGUUUGCGAACCGUUUGUCGAAUGAGUACGAGGGUGGUAUUGAUGCUUUUUCAGUCUGAAGGUUCAUCGGUCAACUUCUGGUAUGAGUGUACCCAAAGCAAAGCAAAAUUAUAUUCUGUGGGAUAUCAUUGAGAUAUUAUGUGAUGAAGUUCAUGAAAGGUAUCAUCACUCACCAACAACUUGUGAUCCCAACGAAAUAUUUUGAAGAUUGUCAGUUCGUUUCCUACAAUGAAGAGCAAUUGCGUGAAGUUAAAGAUGAGUGGGCCGCUUAUGUUUUUUACAAUUGUUUUUAGUAUUUAAUCUAUUGGAUAAUUAUCUAUGAGAUGGUGAUAGAUGAAGUUAAGGCCGUGGUUGAGAUACUAUGCACUUUAGAAAUUGCUUCGAAUUUAUGAAGCUUUUGAUAUUAGAUAUAUUGGUUUUUAUAUGCUGAAGUUCAGAAAAUGUUUAUUUUAUG